RNAcentral lists this non-coding RNA (46 nucleotides) under Marmota monax (woodchuck). It matches the Rfam family "Histone 3' UTR stem-loop". From Rfam's summary of the family: The mRNAs of metazoan histone genes lack a poly-A tail. 3' end processing occurs at a site between a highly conserved stem-loop (modelled by this family) and a purine rich region around 20 nts downstream (the histone downstream element, or HDE). The stem-loop is bound by a 31 kDa stem-loop binding protein (SLBP - also termed the histone hairpin binding protein, or HBP). The record is from RNAcentral. Lineage: Eukaryota; Metazoa; Chordata; Mammalia; Rodentia; Sciuridae.
CAAAAGGCUCUUUUAAGAGCCACCCACUAUUUCUGUGAAAUGAGCU